AGUGGCGAACGGGUGAGUAAUAUAUCGGAACGUACCCUAGAGUGGGGGAUAACGUAGCGAAAGUUACGCUAAUACCGCAUACGAUCUAAGGAUGAAAGUGGGGGAUCGCAAGACCUCAUGCUCGUGGAGCGGCCGAUAUCUGAUUAGCUAGUUGGUAGGGUAAAAGCCUACCAAGGCAUCGAUCAGUAGCUGGUCUGAGAGGACGACCAGCCACACUGGAACUGAGACACGGUCCAGACUCCUACGGGAGGCAGCAGUGGGGAAUUUUGGACAAUGGGCGAAAGCCUGAUCCAGCAAUGCCGCGUGAGUGAAGAAGGCCUUCGGGUUGUAAAGCUCUUUUGUCAGGGAAGAAACGGUGAAAGCUAAUAUCUUUUGCUAAUGACGGUACCUGAAGAAUAAGCACCGGCUAACUACGUGCCAGCAGCCGCGGUAAUACGUAGGGUGCAAGCGUUAAUCGGAAUUACUGGGCGUAAAGCGUGCGCAGGCGGUUUUGUAAGUCUGAUGUGAAAUCCCCGGGCUCAACCUGGGAAUUGCAUUGGAGACUGCAAGGCUAGAAUCUGGCAGAGGGGGGUAGAAUUCCACGUGUAGCAGUGAAAUGCGUAGAUAUGUGGAGGAACACCGAUGGCGAAGGCAGCCCCCUGGGUCAAGAUUGACGCUCAUGCACGAAAGCGUGGGGAGCAACACGAUUAGAUACCCUGGUAGUCCACGCCCUAAACCAUGUCUACUGUUGU
RNAcentral lists this ribosomal RNA (731 nucleotides) under uncultured bacterium. Its description in RNAcentral is "bacterial SSU rRNA". It matches the Rfam family "Bacterial small subunit ribosomal RNA", at positions 94 to 823 of the family's 1533-position model. The record is from RNAcentral.